RNAcentral lists this ribosomal RNA (451 nucleotides) under uncultured bacterium. Its description in RNAcentral is "bacterial SSU rRNA". It matches the Rfam family "Bacterial small subunit ribosomal RNA", at positions 354 to 796 of the family's 1533-position model. The record is from RNAcentral.
GUAGGGAAUCUUCCGCAAUGGACGAAAGUCUGACGGAGCAACGCCGCGUGAGUGAGGAAGGCCUUCGGGUCGUAAAGCUCUGUUGUGAGGGAAGAAGCGGUACCGUUCGAAUAGGGCGGUACCUUGACGGUACCUCACCAGAAAGCCACGGCUAACUACGUGCCAGCAGCCGCGGUAAUACGUAGGUGGCAAGCGUUGUCCGGAAUUAUUGGGCGUAAAGCGCGCGCAGGCGGCUUCUUAAGUCUGAUGUGAAAUCUCGGGGCUCAACCCCGAGCGGCCAUUGGAAACUGGGGAGCUUGAGUGCAGAAGAGGAGAGUGGAAUUCCACGUGUAGCGGUGAAAUGCGUAGAGAUGUGGAGGAACACCAGUGGCGAAGGCGACUCUCUGGUCUGUAACUGACGCUGAGGCGCGAAAGCGUGGGGAGCAAACAGGAUUAGAUACCCUAGUAGUCC